UCGGCUUAGAGUUUGAUCAUGGCUCAGAUUGAACGCUGGCGGCAGGCUUAACACAUGUAAGUCGAACGGUAAAGUAGCUUGCUACUUACGAGUGGCGGACGGGUGAGUAACGUAUGGGAAUUUACCGAAUGGAGGGGGACAACAGUUGGAAACGGCUGCUAAUACCGCAUAACGUCGAGAGACCAAAGGGUUUCGACUUGCCAUUUGAUGAGCCCAUAUGAGAUUAGCUAGUUGGUGUGGUAAUGGCUCACCAAGGCGACGAUCUCUAGCUGGUUUGAGAGGAUGACCAGCCACACUGGGACUGAGACACGGCCCAGACUCCUACGGGAGGCAGCAGUGGGGAAUAUUGCACAAUGGGGGGAACCCUGAUGCAGCCAUGCCGCGUGUAUGAAGAAGCCUUAGGGUUGUAAAGUACUUUCGUGGAGGAGGAAGGGUUUACGUAAUCGUGGACAUUGACGUUACUCCAAGAAGAAGCACCGGCUAACUCCGUGCCAGCAGCCGCGGUAAUACGGAGGGUGCGAGCGUUAAUCGGAAUGACUGGGCGUAAAGGGCAUGUAGGCGAUGAUUAAGUUAGAUGUGAAAUCCCUGGGCUUAACCUAGGAAUUGCAUUUAAAACUGGUUAUC
This 624-nucleotide ribosomal RNA is filed under the name uncultured Enterobacteriaceae bacterium. RNAcentral describes it as "bacterial SSU rRNA". It matches the Rfam family "Bacterial small subunit ribosomal RNA", at positions 1 to 641 of the family's 1533-position model. The record is from RNAcentral. Lineage: Bacteria; Pseudomonadati; Pseudomonadota; Gammaproteobacteria; Enterobacterales; Enterobacteriaceae.